AUUUGCUUGAAGUUUCUUACCCAAACAGAGACAGUGAGAGAUGGCUUGCUGAAUAUAAGAAACACCUGACACUGGUGAGUGACAAAGAUAACCAGCUUCUGAUGAAUUACCCAAUUAAUAAUUUGUCCCUAUUAGACACAAGUGUUCAAGGUUUACAGUGAUUAUGUGUCAAAAAAGAACAAGGAUGCAAUUACAGGGACCCUGCUUGAUGCAGAAGUAUGAACAUCUAAUGACUGUCAAUAUAUGGAUCCCUUUUCUUUCUUGAGCUGAUAGAAGAUAUUUCUAUCCAACUUACUCUGUUUAAUGAAUGUUGUA
Neopsephotus bourkii (Bourke's parrot) is the source of this 315-nucleotide long non-coding RNA. RefSeq lists it as uncharacterized. The record is from RefSeq and is a predicted model, not a curated record. The transcript is spliced from 3 exons. NCBI's taxonomy places the organism in Eukaryota, Metazoa, Chordata, Aves, Psittaciformes, Psittacidae.